AGAGAAUGGCAUGAACCUGGGAGGCAGAGCUUGCAGUGAGCAGAGAUCGUGCCACUGCACUCCAGCCUGGGCGACAGAG
RNAcentral lists this small nuclear RNA (79 nucleotides) under Homo sapiens (human). Its description in RNAcentral is "partial ncRNA". Lineage: Eukaryota; Metazoa; Chordata; Mammalia; Primates; Hominidae. The record is from RNAcentral.